This 674-nucleotide long non-coding RNA is filed under the name Homo sapiens (human). RNAcentral's name for it is "non-protein coding lnc-UNCX-3:14". The record is from RNAcentral. Lineage: Eukaryota; Metazoa; Chordata; Mammalia; Primates; Hominidae.
GGAGGCCUCCAUCUCAAAACAACGUGUUUUUAGAGAACUCAAGGGCUGUGAAAAGAGCAGGACCUCACCAGCUGCACGGCGGUGGUGACUGGCUCCAUCUUGCUGUCCCUCCCAAUCACACAACAUCUCCCCUUGAAGGCUCUGCCCAGGCCCGGACUCCCACCUUUCAAGAUGUCUGGAUCAGUGCAGGACCUCCUCCUUGGCCACAUCGCUCUCCUUGGACUGGUUCAAGUGAUUCUCCCACCUCAGCCUCCCAAGUAGGAUUACAGUGUUGACUCACCUGUGGAGUGGUCUGAGCCUGAAUGCCCGGGGCUGUGGCCACCGAGUGAACGGGCUGUGCUAAGGGGAAUUGCCACCUUGGGAAACCUGUGUAGUUGCGGCUUUUCUGAUUAAGUAUCAAUAAAAGUCUGACCUUGUGAAAAAAGCAAACGUGAGUGGCCCUGCUUAUGUUUCACCUUGCGUUGCUCAGUGAUAGUUCUGCAAAGUCGCAGGAAACCUGGAAUCAUCUAAUUAUCGUGAGUGUUGGUUCCUUAUUUAAUAAUGUCUAGUUGAUUCAUUAACAUGGAAUUCAUGGCCAGUACCUCUGUCACUCAUGCCUGACUGAAGUUGAUCAGCACGUCUUUUUCUCCCUUAGGCACAUGACAGCCUUCUUGCAAUCAAGAAACUACGUGUGG